Molecule: ribosomal RNA, 497 nt
Filed under: uncultured bacterium
Lineage: Bacteria
Description: partial 16S ribosomal RNA
Rfam family: Bacterial small subunit ribosomal RNA
Source: RNAcentral
GAUGAACGCUGGCGGCGUGCCUAAUACAUGCAAGUCGAGCGAACGGACGAGAAGCUUGCUUCUCUGAUGUUAGCGGCGGACGGGUGAGUAACACGUGGAUAGCCUACCUAUAAGACUGGGAUAACUUCGGGAAACCGGAGCUAAUACCGGAUAAUAUUUUGAUCCGCAUGGUUCAAAAGUGAAAGACGGUCUUACUGUCACUUAUAGAUGGAUCCGCGCUGCAUUAGCUAGUUGGUAAGGUAACGGCCUACCAAGGCAACGAUGCAUAGCCGACCUGAGAGGGUGAUAGGCCACACUGGAACGGAGACACGGACCAGACUCCUACGGGAGGCAGCAGUAGGGAAUCUUCCGCAAUGGGCGAAAGCCUGACGGAGCAACGCCGCGUGAGUGAUGAAGGUCUUCGGAUCGUAAAACUCUGUUAUUAGGGAAGAACAUAUGUGUAAGGAACUGUGCACAUCUUGACGGUACCUAAUCAGAAAGCCACGGCUAACUACGUG